GCUCAAAUUUAAAAUCUGGCAGUGGUUCACUGCCCGAGUUGUAAUCUAGAGAAGUGUUGCUCACACUGGACCAUGUAUAAGUCUUCUGGAAUGAAGCGUCAUAGAGGGUGAGAAUCCCGUCUUUGACAUGGACUCCCAGUGUAUUUGUAGCAUGCUCUCAAAGAGUCGAGUUGUUUGGGAAUGCAGCUCUAAAUGGGUGGUAACCUCCAUCUAAAGCUAAAUAUUGGCGAGAGACCGAUAGUGAACAAGUACCGUGAGGGAAAGAUGAAAAGAACUUUGGAAAGAGAGUUAAAAAGUACGUGAAAUUGUUGAAAGGGAAACGCUUGAAGUCAGUCACAUUGGCCAGGGAUCAACUUGCUUAAGUGUACUUCCUGGCUGAUGGGCCAACAUCAGCUUUGACUGUCAGAGAAGGGUAGGGGGAAUGUGGCACCCUUCUUGGGUGUGUUAUAGCCCUCUGUCAUAUAUGGCGGUUGGGGCUGAGGAAUGCAGCGCGCCACAAGGCCGGGUUUCGACCACGUUCGCGCUUAGGAUGUUGGCAUAAUGGCUUUAAUCGACCCGUCUG
RNAcentral lists this ribosomal RNA (562 nucleotides) under Amanita sp. Arora11345. Its description in RNAcentral is "eukaryotic LSU rRNA". It matches the Rfam family "Eukaryotic large subunit ribosomal RNA", at positions 107 to 655 of the family's 3401-position model. Lineage: Eukaryota; Fungi; Basidiomycota; Agaricomycetes; Agaricales; Amanitaceae. The record is from RNAcentral.